AUUGAACGCUGGCGGCAGGCCUAACACAUGCAAGUCGAACGAGUGGCGGACGGGUGAGUAAUGUCUGGGAAACUGCCCGAUGGAGGGGGAUAACUACUGGAAACGGUAGCUACUACCGCAUACCAUCGGAUGUGCCCAGAUGGGAUUAGCUAGUAGGUGGGUUAACGGCUCACCUAGGCGACGAUCCCUAGCUGGUCUGAGAGGAUGACCAGCCACACUGGAACUGUGCCACGGUCCAGACUCCCACGGGAGGCAGCAGUGGUGAAGAUUGCACAAUGGACGCAAGCCUGAUGCAGCCAUGCCGCGUGUAUGAAGAAGGCCUUCGGGUUGUAAAGUACUUUCAGCGAGGAGGCGUUACUCGCAGAAGAAGCACCGGCUGACUCCGUGCCAGCAGCCGCGGUAAUAC
RNAcentral lists this ribosomal RNA (406 nucleotides) under uncultured bacterium. Its description in RNAcentral is "partial 16S ribosomal RNA". It matches the Rfam family "Bacterial small subunit ribosomal RNA", at positions 30 to 526 of the family's 1533-position model. The record is from RNAcentral.